Molecule: transfer RNA, 72 nt
Filed under: Ictidomys tridecemlineatus (thirteen-lined ground squirrel)
Lineage: Eukaryota; Metazoa; Chordata; Mammalia; Rodentia; Sciuridae
Description: Spermophilus tridecemlineatus (thirteen-lined ground squirrel) tRNA
Rfam family: tRNA
About the family: Transfer RNA (tRNA) molecules are approximately 80 nucleotides in length. Their secondary structure includes four short double-helical elements and three loops (D, anti-codon, and T loops). Further hydrogen bonds mediate the characteristic L-shaped molecular structure. tRNAs have two regions of fundamental functional importance: the anti-codon, which is responsible for specific mRNA codon recognition, and the 3' end, to which the tRNAs corresponding amino acid is attached (by aminoacyl-tRNA synthetases). tRNAs cope with the degeneracy of the genetic code in two manners: having more than one tRNA (with a specific anti-codon) for a particular amino acid; and 'wobble' base-pairing, i.e. permitting non-standard base-pairing at the 3rd anti-codon position.
Source: Rfam by way of RNAcentral
GAGGGUGUAACUCAGUGGCAGAGCCCUUGCCUAGCAUGCAUGAGACCCUGGGUUCAGUUCCCAGCACCCCUG